Molecule: non-coding RNA, 2356 nt
Organism: Schizosaccharomyces pombe (fission yeast)
Lineage: Eukaryota; Fungi; Ascomycota; Schizosaccharomycetes; Schizosaccharomycetales; Schizosaccharomycetaceae
Source: the annotation of a GenBank genome assembly
CUAUUUCGAACUUUCUGUAAACUCUUUUAAAGAUUUGAAAAGUCGCUUCGUUAUUCACCUUCAUUCCGUCGUACCUUCUUUGCCCAUGCUAUAUAGGUAGUAUUGGAGAAUGUAUUUUUGUGCUACGAUGACUUGUUGAAUGUUGUCGUAGUGGAUAGCACUCAUUUCAUCUAUACAAAUAACAAAACUAAGAAAGGAUAAUCAAGUUGGUAUUUUGGUCGUUUGCAUAAAAUGCUUUUACUUCCAUAUCAAGUCCGCGGCGAACUGGAUAGAUCCCAGUAGAAAGAAGCGCAAAGAAGAAAAUUUGAAAGGGGCCUUUUCUCGGAGUACAAUAGGACAUCUCGCAUCUGUGCAAUGCCUCGGGGCACUAAUGUAGGCUAAAUUACUCACGUGGAUAGUCAAUUAUCGAGGGUCGUAGGGAUCCCGAGCCCUGAUAGAUAAAAACGUCGGGCUGCGGCAAAAUGUAUAUCAGUGAUCCUGUACACCAGAAAGUGGAUGAUUCAAUUACCACGGUAUCUAUCAGAUAAGUAAGAUGGAUUGUUUCUGAAUUACACCAAAUGAGGAGAAAUCGAUUACGCAAAAUGAAUUGAUAAGCACAACAUUUGACAGGGAAUGAAAAAUGUUCGUUUAACGGGGGUGGGAUUUUAAAAAUUUCAUUUUUUACGCAUUCAGGUGCUGAGAAAGACAAAACGUAUGGAAGAUCGUUAAACGAAGUAAGAAAAGAGAAGAAGAGAAAAGUGAUGAUUUGCAAAGGCUUCUCUAAUGUUUCUUUUAGUAUGGAUACCUCAAUAGAAAAAGUCAAAGACCCAAAAAAAAAAUAAAAUAAAGGUCCUUCUGAUGAACAACAAAAACUUUUUUUUACCUCUAUUCUUUUGCUCGAUAACAAAUGGAAUGCUUUAGAUUUCGAAAGACUUUUAUUAAUCAUGUUAUCAAGUGUUCCUCCAUCAUCAUCUUCCUUGUAUACGGAUAUGUCGAGGAAUGUAAUAGACUGGGCCAACUAAGCAAGUCAUGUUUGAUAGGCGAUUUCUCAGCCAAAGUGGGUAGACUGUAUUUGUAUGGUUUUGAUCAUUUUUGGUACUAGUCAGUUUCAUGUAAAGUUUGGAUUUAAUUAUUGGGUUUGACUCAAAUCUCAAUUUCAUAUUUGUGUUAAUGUUAGUUUCAUUCAUAUACUUUCGUCAGCAUUUGUUUAUGAAAUUUCAUGUUUCUUUUGCGAGCUCUUUUACUACUGCCCCAUCUAGUCUGCAUCCGUUCUCAUUAUCAAGAAAUACUGCGGUACUGGUGCGAGGGUAGAUGAUUAUCAAGGUAGGAUGAAAAUCCGCUCCACAAAGUUGUUAGUGAUAAGUGGUAAAAGACGGUAUGUGUUUGAGGUAACCAUAAUCGCCAAGAUAGACAAGAUGCAAGUGGAGCAUUGUCGGCGUUAAAGUUAGUAUUUUGAUUUGUUUGAGCUAUCAACAUGAGUAAGUGUGCGGCGGCAGGCGAGUCGCAAAAGGAAAAAAAAAAGCCUUCAUUUAGUUAUCAGAGCAUCGCCGACGUAUACCUUUUUUCCAUUGAUAAAUUUGUGUUAGUCAGUGCAGUUGUUCAACACAAUCGGUCCUCCGUUUAUCGGUAGCUCUUUUUUGCACUUUGACAAAGCACAAAAUUCGUUUACAUGCAAUCAUCUAUUACGGAUGUAAAUGUCCGUCAUAAUCAAAGGAAUGCCAACAACGCCAAGUGAAAGCGAGAUGAGUUGGGAAAAUAGGAUCGCAAUUUGACAUUCCUACGUCUUCCUACGUCUUUCUUGGAAUGAAGUAAUCAACUCUUCGUAAAUUAGCAGGGACGAGGAAAAUAUGCGACUGUUAUCAUUUUUAGCGCAAUAAGGAUAAGAAAUGAGUGAUUUAGGAAAUAAGCAACUGGGAGAUAUCCAUUAUCACUUCCAUAAGCGAUAAUGAUAAACCGCAGGAAAAACACGUGUGAGCAUGAAAAAGGGUAUAUAUACAUAGACGGAAAGGGGCUUCAUCUUUUCUUUUUCUUUUGUUAGGGGCGUGGUGAAUGGAAGUAUUUCUUUGUUUUAUGGGGAAGCGUACAAAAUUGUGAAACGAAACGAUGUAUGUGUAUGGAGUGUAGGAGUCAUUCAUUUUCAUGAAAGAAACUAUAAUAAAAAUGGGGUAUAUGAUUAGAAAGGGAUGAGUGAAUGUUUGAAAAAAUUACUUAUAAAAUGGUAAUGAAUAUGAUUAGAAAAAGCGGUAUGAGGAAGCAUGGUUACUAAAUGAACCAACUUGAUUAUAUAAAAAAAAAGAAACAAAUUAAAAACUAAUUUUCAUCUAACUCAGGAAUUCCUCCUUUGAAAAUAGCCAAACAUUAACUAAAAAAAUUAAAA